Molecule: long non-coding RNA, 1781 nt
Filed under: Junco hyemalis (dark-eyed junco)
Lineage: Eukaryota; Metazoa; Chordata; Aves; Passeriformes; Passerellidae
Description: lncRNA (ENSJHYG00000014604.1)
Source: RNAcentral
AAAAGCCUGUAUUAAUAGUGAGCAAUGAUCCAUUGAUUCCCUGUCACACAGAUCACUUGCCAUGACCCUGGGGUUCUCCCACCUGGGUCAGAGCGUUUUUUACCAAUCAGAAAUCCUUUCAGCCUGAUCCUUCUGCCCUGAAGCUGCUGGGAGUGUCCCCAUGGAGUGGAAGGGAUGGGCAGAGGGCCCUUUGUUCCCAGCUGGCACCAGGACGUGCCACGGUGCUGCCAGUGCAGAGGGGACCAGGGUAAAUGAAGAAGUGCCUUUCCUCAUUGUGCCUUAGACAGUUUUUGCUAAUUAACAGCAGAAUCUUUUUAAUGCCUCUUUUUAUAAAAAGGACUUUUUUUUUAAGAUCAGCUGUGACCACCUCCAGUUCCUUGUGGCUGAGCCAACUCCUCACUGCUUUCUUCCUUCCUUCCUCCUGCUUGACCUCUGGGCUGAGCAUUCCUGUUGCUCCACGUUCAGGAGCCUGUGAGGAUGUGCCAUGUUAUCCUGGCACAGGGAACCAUCCCUGCAUUCACAGCCCAGCUGGGGAGCCUCUCCUGGGAGGCACCACAAACCCUGAGAUCCCUGAGAAAGCUCUGCACAGUGAGGAGAAGUCAGGGAUGCUGGCACUGUGCUUCCAGGUGUCCUCCCAGGUGGCAGCAUGGGCUCCCCCUUCCCUCUGCCCCAAAGGCAAAUCCGGGACAAAACAGAAAGUCACAGCUGCAGCCUCAUCCACACCGGUGUGGGUGCAGGUGACCCGAUUUAUUCCGUGUCUGCGGCUGGGGACAGCCCGAGGGUGGCAGGAAGCCCUUGUCCCCAGCCCUGUGUGCUGCUGCUGAGCCCAGAGCCCGGUGCUGCCCCAGCCUGGCUUGGAGAGUCCCCGUGGUCAUUGUCGCCUUCCCCACCCUCACCCGGCACGGACAUCGGCAAUGCCCCGCCCGAGGCUUUCCCGCUGGCUCGCAGGAGCCUCGGAGGUGACAGAGCAGCGACAAACAGCGACAGGACAGCGUGGGGCACUGCGGGAGCGCGGGGACGGGGCUGGUCCCGCCCCGCUGUGCGGUGCCAGCAGAGCAGGACGAGCAGCGCUCGCUCCUUGCAGCCUCCCUGCGGGGUUUGUGCACCUGGCCCCAGGUUCAGCAGCGGCCCCGGAGCCCUCGGGAUGUCCCCAAGGAAGGACAAUCAGCGUUCCUCUCUUCUUGUGCUCCUGUUUGAGUUCCAGCUGGAUCCACGCUCAGCAAAACCACCCUGCUCUUGCUCAGUACUAUGAGCUACAGCCUGCUCUGCUGUGGCCAGGGCACACUGCCCAAACCUUCAUCUGUAACUGGAAAAUAUCCUUGAAAAAGGGUUUUUAAAGUCUUUUUUUAAGCAUUUGGAGGAAGCCUGUGUUUUCCCCCAAGGCAAAUGCUGCAGCCUCCGUGGGAGCUGCCAGAGCACCAGCACCAGCCUCACCCAGCCAGGCCCCAAAAGUGACAUUCCCAAAAGUGACAUUCCCAUUUAGGAUUUCUAAGGAGUGAAACAGCACUGUUGCUGCUCAUCAUGAAACAAUCCUGUCCCCCCCAGUGAAUCCAGGUGGUCACAGCAGAACACAGAUGUUGUGUUAUCAUUUUAAACCAGAGUAGUGUCCUGAUUACCUCUGAUUGAAGCACGUGAACUGGGGGGUUUAUAGUCUAUUUAUUAAAGACAUGAGACUGGAAUUUGUACCUCAGCUGAUGCAUCUCAUGAUUUAAUAUAUUCUGAACUCGAUACUCUAUGAAACACUCACUUUUAGUACAAAUAAAUAUUUAUAUGUGUAAGCA